AACGAACGCUGGCGGCAUGCCUAACACAUGCAAGUCGAACGAGACCUUCGGGUCUAGUGGCGCACGGGUGCGUACCGCGUGGGAACCUGCCCUUAGGUUCGGAAUACCUCCCCGAAAGGGGUGCUAAUACCGGAUAAUGUCUUCGGACCAAAGAUUUAUCGCCUUUGGAUGGGCCCGCGUUGGAUUAGCUAGUUGGUAGGGUAAAAGCCUACCAAGGCGACGAUCCAUAGCUGGUCUGAGAGGAUGAUCAGCCACACUGGGACUGAGACACGGCCCAGACUCCUACGGGAGGCAGCAGUGGGGAAUAUUGGACAAGGGGCGAAAGCCUGAUCCAGCAAUGCCGCGUGAGUGAUGAAGGCCUUAGGGUUGUAAAGCUCUUUUACCCGGGAUGAUAAUGACAGUACCGGGAGAAUAAGCUCCGGCUAACUCCGUG
RNAcentral lists this ribosomal RNA (433 nucleotides) under uncultured bacterium. RNAcentral describes it as "partial 16S ribosomal RNA". It matches the Rfam family "Bacterial small subunit ribosomal RNA", at positions 29 to 507 of the family's 1533-position model. The record is from RNAcentral.